GCCGGCGCUAGCUCAUGUCCGGUAGAGCAUGAGACUCUUAAUCCACCCAAGGGUCGUGGGUUCGAGCCCCACGUUGGGCG
Desmophyllum pertusum is the source of this 80-nucleotide non-coding RNA. The record is from the annotation of a GenBank genome assembly. NCBI's taxonomy places the organism in Eukaryota, Metazoa, Cnidaria, Anthozoa, Scleractinia, Caryophylliidae.